AAUGAACGCUGGCGGCAGGCCUAACACAUGCAAGUCGAACGGAUCCUUCGGGAUUAGUGGCGGACGGGUGAGUAACGCGUGGGAACAUACCCAAAGGUACGGAAUAGCCUCGGGAAACUGGGAGUAAUACCGUAUGUGGUCGAGAGACGAAAGAUUUAUCGCCAAAGGAUUGGCCCGCGUUGGAUUAGGUAGUUGGUGGGGUAAUGGCCUACCAAGACGACGAUCCAUAGCUGGUUUGAGAGGAUGAUCAGCCACACUGGGACUGAGACACGGCCCAGACUCCUACGGGAGGCAGCAGUGGGGAAUCUUAGACAAUGGGGGAAACCCUGAUCUAGCCAUGCCGCGUGAUCGAUGAAGGCCUUAGGGUUGUAAAGAUCUUUCAGGUGGGAAGAUAAUGACUGUACCACCAGAAGAAGCCCCGGCUAACUCCGUGCCAGCAGCCGCAGUAA
RNAcentral lists this ribosomal RNA (449 nucleotides) under uncultured bacterium. Its description in RNAcentral is "partial 16S ribosomal RNA". It matches the Rfam family "Bacterial small subunit ribosomal RNA", at positions 29 to 523 of the family's 1533-position model. The record is from RNAcentral.